This 507-nucleotide ribosomal RNA is filed under the name Melanoleuca metrodii. RNAcentral describes it as "eukaryotic LSU rRNA". The stretch from base 28 to 181 matches the Rfam family "5.8S ribosomal RNA". The record is from RNAcentral. Lineage: Eukaryota; Fungi; Basidiomycota; Agaricomycetes; Agaricales; Pluteaceae.
CCUUUUAAUAGGCUUUAAAACAUAUACAACUUUCAACAACGGAUCUCUUGGCUCUCGCAUCGAUGAAGAACGCAGCGAAAUGCGAUAAGUAAUGUGAAUUGCAGAAUUCAGUGAAUCAUCGAAUCUUUGAACGCACCUUGCGCUCCUUGGUAUUCCGAGGAGCAUGCCUGUUUGAGUGUCAUUAAAUUCUCAAUUCCCUCUGGGUUUAUUCUCAGUUGGGCUUGGAUAUUGGGGGNUCAUUGCUGGCUUUGCAAAAAGUCAGCUCUCCUUAAAAGUAUUAGCAGGACUUUUGUUGCAACCUUCUAUCUGGUGUGAUAGUUAUCUACAUCAUAGAUUAUGUGCAGUUUAUUAUGUCUGGCUUCUAACAGUCCAAUUGACUUGGACAACACUCUGAUAAUUUGACCUCAAAUCAGGUAGGACUACCCGCUGAACUUAAGCAUAUCAAUAAGCGGAGGAAAAGAAACUAACAAGGAUUCCCUUAGUAACUGCGAGUGAAGUGGGAAAAGC